This 314-nucleotide unclassified non-coding RNA is filed under the name plant metagenome. RNAcentral's name for it is "partial contains 5.8S ribosomal RNA, internal transcribed spacer 2, and large subunit ribosomal RNA". The stretch from base 1 to 105 matches the Rfam family "5.8S ribosomal RNA", at positions 50 to 154 of the family's 154-position model. The record is from RNAcentral.
GAAAUGCGAUAAUUAAUGUGAAUUGCAGAAUUCAGUGAAACAUCGAGUCUUUGAACGCACAUUGCGCCCCCUGGUAUUCCGGGGGGCAUGCCUGUCCGAGCGUCAUUGCUGCCCUCAAGCACGGCUUGUGUGUUGGGCUUCCGUCCCUGGCAACGGGGACGGGCCCAAAAGGCAGUGGCGGCACCAUGUCUGGUCCUCGAGCGUAUGGGGCUUUGUCACCCGCUCCCGUAGGUCCAGCUGGCAGCUAGCCUCGCAACCAAUCUUUUUAACCAGGUUGACCUCGGAUCAGGUAGGGAUACCCGCUGAACUUAAGC